GUCAACAGCAACGAGUUUGCAGGGUUAACCUGGAUGGCGUUCGAUAAUUUUUCCUGUUGUUGUGUGUUGCAAUUGGCGCUUUAAUCCAGUUAUCCAGCACGAAUAGAUCACAUUUACCAUCGAACAUAUAAAGAGUAGUUGUCCUGCUGGUAGGUUUUACAGCAGAGGGGGGAACACUUCUUUUGCGCGUUGUACACAGUACUGGAUCACGAACAUAAAUAGGCGAUUGCGAUUCAUUAGUUUAAUAGGUACCGUUACUAAGCGUAAACGGAGGGAGGCUGGUGAUGCUCGCUCUAACCGCAGCAGGUCACAUUAAGCACGGCGAUCGGAAGAGCGGACUGGCGUGAGUGUUGUGUCUAUGAGCCUGGGUGCUGGCACAUGCACAGGAAGAGAGAGACUGAAAGCGUUCCAUCCAUCCAGACGUACGGAAAAGGAGUGAGAUAAAGAAGGGUCCGUGUCCCCUGCAUGGCCCCGGCCCCCUGCCCUGGGGACGUGCGGUUUGGGAGAGAGAGUCCCGCGGUGAUACCAUCACACCUGAGAUAACCAGCGCGGCAGAACAUACCUGAGCAAGCCGCUCAGAGUCGCAAAGAACAGCGGAACACCCAGCUAAAAGGGGCGGAGUUAACCCCGGAAUCUCCUCCACUGUCACUGUGAUGUCACAGCAGAGAGGCUGGUCUGUGGCACAUCACAUCUCUCUUUGCUAAUCUUAGACUCUGCGGGUGUACGUGUGUAUGUGCAUGUGUGUGUGUACGUGUAUGUGUUCGCGCGUGUGUGUACGUGCUUGUGUGCCUGUGUGUGUGUACGUGUGUGUGUGCACAUGUGUACGUGUAUGUGCGCGUGUGUGUGUGUGUACGUGCUUGUGUGCCUGUGUGUGUGUACGUGUAUGUGUGCACGUGUGUGUGUAUACGUGAGUGUGUACCUGUUUGCAUCUAAAUUUAAAAAUGGAUCAAGUAAGAGUACAUGACACUCUUGAAUUUCAACUGUGACAAUCACUUAAAAUGUAGAUUUUAUUUAAGAAUGACAAUGUUUACAUUUCCAGUACAAGAAUAAACUUUGCCUCACAAAUAUAUUUAGGCUUACAUGUGCUGCCAAUGUACUAUUAAUAUAUUGUUUUGAUCAUUUGUGUUAAUUUAUCUAUCAAUAUGUUCUUUUUUCAGUCAAAUUUAAUACAUUUUCAUUUGUGUGUUUGUUGACAUUUUAUGAACUAUUUCAUUAUUUUGGUAUUAUAGUACUGUGCGUGACAGAAGACUAACCCUGUGUUUUUAUAAUAAUUAUAAAACCUUUCACCUGCUCCUGUGUGCUGUAAGGCAGGUGCGAUGUUCCCAUUGUUUCUGAAAUCAGGGUGUGAAUGUGAGCUGGUGUCUCUAAAGGGCUGCACAUACCUCAGCGUCAUCUUGUUAAUCAGCCUGCUGAGAAAUGCCUUCACACAAUACCAGCAGUUUUCCUUUUGAGCCACCAUGGCAUGAGAGUAAAAGUUUUCAUUUGAAAUUAAAUUGCUUUGGAAGAACUGUGUAUAAAUACAGGCUCUCCUCAUCUACGAAAUGGACGAGUUUCCUCCCACUCUCCCCCUUGAACAUUUGUUUGCUUCAGAGAGAUGAGUCACCUUCUCCUGAUGCUCCUUCAGGGUGCGAUUGGCGCAAUCUGUUCUAACGCUGCUAUCAGAUUUACGCACAGGAUCACUGUAGCUGCCUGCAUGUCCAUAUCCUCUAGCUGCCUGCAUGUUCAUGUCCUGUAGCUGCCUGCAUGUUCAUAUCCUGUAGCUGCCUGCAUGUCCAUAUCCUGUAGCUGCCUGCAUGUCCAUAUCCUGUAGCUGCCUGCAUGUUCAUAUCCUGUAGCUGCCUGCAUGUCCAUAUCCUGUAGCUGCCUGCA
Molecule: long non-coding RNA, 1869 nt
Organism: Anguilla rostrata (American eel)
Lineage: Eukaryota; Metazoa; Chordata; Actinopteri; Anguilliformes; Anguillidae
Exons: 3
Source: RefSeq, a predicted model, not a curated record